This 70-nucleotide transfer RNA is filed under the name bovine gut metagenome. It matches the Rfam family "tRNA". Rfam says of the family: Transfer RNA (tRNA) molecules are approximately 80 nucleotides in length. Their secondary structure includes four short double-helical elements and three loops (D, anti-codon, and T loops). The record is from RNAcentral.
CGACUUAGCUCAAUUGGUAGAGCAACUGAUUUGUAAUCAGUAGGUUACGGGUUCAAUUCCUGUAGUCGGC